GAUGAACGCUGGCGGCGUGCCUAAUACAUGCAAGUCGAGCGAACAGACGAGGAGCUUGCUCCUCUCACGUUAGCGGCGGACGGGUGUGUAACACGUGUAUCACCUACCUAUAUGACUGGGAUAACUUCGGGAAACCGGAGCUAAUCCCGUAUAAUAUCUUGAACCGCAUGGUUCAAUAGUGAAAGUCGGUUUUGCUGUCUCGUAUAGAUGGAUCCGCGCCGCAUUAGCUGGUUGGUAAGGUAACGGCUUACCAAGGCAACGAUGCGUAGCCGACCUGAGAGACGGAUAGGCCACAUUGGAGCUGAGACACGGUCCAGACUACUACGAGAGGCAGCAGUAGGGAAUCUUCCGCAAUGGGGGAAAGCAUGACGGAGCAACGCCGCGUGAGUGAUGAAGGUCUUCGGAUCGUAAAACUCUGUUAUUAGGGAAGAACAAAUGUGUAAGUAACUAUGCACGUCUUGACGGUACCUAAUCAGAAAGCCACGGCUAACUACGUG
RNAcentral lists this ribosomal RNA (497 nucleotides) under uncultured bacterium. RNAcentral describes it as "partial 16S ribosomal RNA". It matches the Rfam family "Bacterial small subunit ribosomal RNA", at positions 28 to 507 of the family's 1533-position model. The record is from RNAcentral.